GAUGAACGCUGGCGGCGUGCCUAAUACAUGCAAGUCGAGCGAACGGACGAGAAGCUUGCUUCUCUGAUGUUAGCGGCGGACGGGUGAGUAACACGUGGAUAACCUACCUAUAAGACUGGGAUAACUUCGGGAAACCGGAGCUAAUACCGGAUAAUAUUUUGAACCGCAUGGUUCAAAAGUAAAAGACGGUCUUGCUGUCACUUAUAGAUGGAUCCGCGCUGCAUUAGCUAGUUGGUAAGGUAACGGCUUACCAAGGCAACGAUGCAUAGCCGACCUGAGAGAGUGAGCGGCCACACUGGAACUGAGACACGGUCCAGACUCCUACGGGAGGCAGCAGUAGGGAAUCUUCCGCAAUGGGCGAAAGCCUGACGGAGCAACGCCGCGUGAGUGAUGAAGGUCUUCGGAUCGUAAAACUCUGUUAUUAGGGAAGAACAUAUGUGUAAGUAACUGUGCACAUCUUGACGGUACCUAAUCAGAAAGCCACGGCUAACUACGUG
This 497-nucleotide ribosomal RNA is filed under the name uncultured bacterium. RNAcentral's name for it is "partial 16S ribosomal RNA". It matches the Rfam family "Bacterial small subunit ribosomal RNA", at positions 28 to 507 of the family's 1533-position model. The record is from RNAcentral.